RNAcentral lists this ribosomal RNA (575 nucleotides) under Glomeromycotina sp. RNAcentral's name for it is "eukaryotic LSU rRNA". It matches the Rfam family "Eukaryotic large subunit ribosomal RNA", at positions 115 to 616 of the family's 3401-position model. Lineage: Eukaryota; Fungi; Glomeromycota. The record is from RNAcentral.
UUUAAAUCUACCUGGUUUCCAGGUCGAGUUGUAAUUUGAAGAAGUGUUUUUUACUUUCCGGGUUGGGUUAAAUCCUUUGGGAUAAGGUAUCAUGGAGGGUGAGAAUCCCGUGUAUACCAACCGCAGGAUYGUUUAAUAUACACUUUCUAAGAGUCGAGUUGUUUGGGAAUGCAGCUCUAAAUGGGUGGUAAAUUUCACCUAAUGCUAAAUAUAAGCGAGAGACCGAUAGCGAACAAGUACCGUGAGGGAAAGAUGAAAAGAACUUUGAAAAGAGAGUUAAAUAGUACGUGAAAUUGUUGAAAGGGAAACGGUURAAGUCAGUCAUGCCGGCGGGAAUCAACUUAGGGGAAACUCUGAGUGCACUUCUUCGCUUGGCAGGUUAGCGUCGAUUUUGGAUGUCAUAAAAUGACUGGGGGAAGGUAGCUCUUUCGGGAGUGUUAAGCCCUUWGUAGAUGUGAUGUCYGGGAUCGAGGAUUGCAACGGAUACCYUUUGGGCUARCCGCCUAGUCUCUAAUACGAAGUUGGGUUAUGGACAGCACCGCUGACUGUGAUCUGAUUUUCGGUUAAAAGAUUAG